GACGAACGCUGGCGGCGUGCUUAAUACAUGCAAGUCGAACGAACAGGCGAGGCUCUUGUUGCUCUGACGAUAGGCGCGGGCGUGUGAGUAACGUGAGUAUACCGUCCCUAUCAGUGUGGUAACAUCUCGGGAAACCGGAUCUUAUACCGGAGAAGCUAUUGAUGCGCAUGGGGGGAUAGUAAGAGACGGUGGUGCUGUCUCUUAUCGCUGCAUCCGAGCUGCUUUGGGUAGUUGUUAAGGUAACGGCUUAUCAAGGCAACGAUGCGUAGCCGAGCUGCCAGGGUGAUCGGCCACACUGGAACUGAAACACGGUCCAGACGCCUACGGGAGGCAGCAGUAUGGAAUCGGACGCAGUGGGCGAAAGCCUGACGGAGCGACGCCGCGUGAGUGAUGAAGGUCUUCGGAUCGUAAAACCCUGUUAUUAGGGAAGAACAAAUGUGUAAGGAACUAUGCACGUCUUGACGGUACCUGAUCAGAAAGCCACGGCUAACUACGUG
This 497-nucleotide ribosomal RNA is filed under the name uncultured bacterium. RNAcentral's name for it is "partial 16S ribosomal RNA". It matches the Rfam family "Bacterial small subunit ribosomal RNA", at positions 28 to 507 of the family's 1533-position model. The record is from RNAcentral.